UACGUAGGGUGCAAGCGUUAAUCGGAAUUACUGGGCGUAAAGCGUGCGCAGGCGGUUUUGUAAGUCUGACGUGAAAUCCCCGGGCUCAACCUGGGAAUUGCGUUGGAGACUGCAAGGCUAGAAUCUGGCAGAGGGGGGUAGAAUUCCACGUGUAGCAGUGUAAUGCGUAGAGAUGUGGAGGAACACCGAUGGCGAAGGCAGCCCCCUGGGUCAAGAUUGACGCUCAUGCACGAAAGCGUGGGGAGCAAACAGG
Molecule: ribosomal RNA, 253 nt
Filed under: uncultured bacterium
Lineage: Bacteria
Description: partial 16S ribosomal RNA
Rfam family: Bacterial small subunit ribosomal RNA
Source: RNAcentral